UAAAACACAAUCUAAUAGGUAGAAUAAUUUAUUUAUUGUUGGUUUCCGGCCUUAGCUGUAUCCCUUCUUAGCCACAACCCUAAACUACACAUAAUUACUGUAUCUGCAUUACUGUAAGGGGUAGGUUUAGGGUUGGGGUAGGUGUAGACGUUAAUAAACCAUACUUUGAAAGGUAGAAUUUUUCAUUAUCGAAUUGUACUACCUACUGUUUUAAUAGGAGGUAGUAAAAUCUGACAGGGUACCACAGAUCGACAGAACAUAAACCCUGUUACAUUAACUUCAUUUUG
Molecule: long non-coding RNA, 287 nt
Organism: Sinocyclocheilus anshuiensis
Lineage: Eukaryota; Metazoa; Chordata; Actinopteri; Cypriniformes; Cyprinidae
Exons: 3
Source: RefSeq, a predicted model, not a curated record